GAUGAAGAACGUAGCGAAAUGCGAUAAGUAGUGUGAAUUGCAGAAUUCAGUGAAUCAUCGAAUCUUUGAACGCACAUUGCGCCCUUUGGUAUUCCUUAGGGCAUGCCUGUUCGAGCGUCAUUUAAACCUUCAAGCUAAGCUUGGUGUUGGGUGACUGUCCGCUUCACGGCGGACUCGCCUCAAAAUUAUUGGCGGCCGGUACAUUGGCUUCGAGCGCAGCAGAAACGCGAACUCGGGCCCGUCGUAUUGGCUCCCAGAAGCUAUCUUCACAAUUUUGACCUCGGAUCAGGUAGGGAUACCCGCCGAACUUUAGCAUAUCAAUAAGCGGAGGA
Molecule: unclassified non-coding RNA, 332 nt
Filed under: soil metagenome
Description: partial contains 5.8S ribosomal RNA, internal transcribed spacer 2, and large subunit ribosomal RNA
Rfam family: 5.8S ribosomal RNA (bases 1-120)
Source: RNAcentral